GUAGGUGAACCUGCGGAAGGAUCAUUAACACUUUUCAUCCCUAAUUCCUGGCCAUUGAGCGGCUGCGGCCUUCACGGGUUUGCGCUGCUUUUGGUUAGGUUCCAACCCCUUUGUGUGCACUUGUUGAGAGGAAAAAUAAUGAUGAUGUAGAGUUUAUUCUCUGCUUAGUCUACCUUUUUCUCUUGUUUUUUCUCAUUUUUACCAUUUUUUACCCCUUUUCUAAUGCUAUAGACUGAAAUAAUAACCUUUUUGGAAGGGUUUAAAACAUCCAAAAGAGUAAUACAACUCUUAGCAACGGAUAUCUAGGCUCUC
This 312-nucleotide unclassified non-coding RNA is filed under the name rhizosphere metagenome. RNAcentral's name for it is "partial ribosomal RNA internal transcribed spacer region". The record is from RNAcentral.